This 430-nucleotide ribosomal RNA is filed under the name uncultured bacterium. RNAcentral describes it as "partial 16S ribosomal RNA". It matches the Rfam family "Bacterial small subunit ribosomal RNA", at positions 28 to 506 of the family's 1533-position model. The record is from RNAcentral.
AACGAACGCUGGCGGCAGGCCUAACACAUGCAAGUCGAGCGCCCUCUCGGGGGAGCGGCGGUCGGGUGAGUAACGCGUGGGAAUAUGCCCUUCUCUACGGAAUAGCCUCGGGAAACGGAGAGUAAUACCGGAUACGCCCUGCGGGGGCAAGAUUUAUCGGGGAAGGAUUAGCCCGCGUCGGAUUAGGUAGUUGGUGGGGUAAUGGCCUACCAAGCCGACGAUCCAAAGCUGGUUUUAGGGGAUGAUCCGCCACCCUGGGACUGGGACCCGGCCCGGACUCCGACGGGAGGCCGCAGGGGGGAUUCUUCGACACCGGGUGCAUCAAUGAUCUCGCCAGGCCGUGUGGGUGAUGAAGGCCUUAGGGUGGUAAAGCUCUUUCAGCCGGGACGAUAAGGCCGGUACCAGCAGAAGAAGCCCCGGCUACCUCCGG